ACGUAGGUGGCAAGCGUUGUCAGGAUUUACUGGGUGUAAAGGGCGUGUAGGCGGGACUGCAAGUCAGAUGUGAAAUACAGGGGCUCAACCCCUGAACUGCAUUUGAAACUGUGGUUCUUGAGUGAUGGAGAGGCAGGCGGAAUUACUAGUGUAGCGGUGAAAUGCGUAGAUAUUAGGAGGAACACCAGUGGCGAAGGCGGCCUGCUGGACAUUAACUGACGCUGAGGCGCGAAAGCGUGGGGAGCAAACAG
Molecule: ribosomal RNA, 251 nt
Filed under: uncultured prokaryote
Description: partial 16S rRNA
Rfam family: Bacterial small subunit ribosomal RNA
Source: RNAcentral